AGAGUUUGAUCAUGGCUCAGGACGAACGCUGGCGGCGUGCUUAACACAUGCAAGUCGAACGGAAAGGCCCUGCUUGCAGGGUACUCGAGUGGCGAACGGGUGAGUAACACGUGGGUGAUCUGCCCUGCACUUCGGGAUAAGCCUGGGAAACUGGGUCUAAUACCGGAUAGGACCAUCGUUUAGUGUCGGUGGUGGAAAGUUUUUCGGUGCAGGAUGAGCUCGCGGCCUAUCAGCUUGUUGGUGGGGUAAUGGCCUACCAAGGCGUCGACGGGUAGCCGGCCUGAGAGGGUGGACGGCCACAUUGGGACUGAGACACGGCCCAGACUCCUACGGGAGGCAGCAGUGGGGAAUAUUGCACAAUGGGCGCAAGCCUGAUGCAGCGACGCCGCGUGGGGGAUGAAGGCCUUCGGGUUGUAAACUCCUUUCAACCAUGACGAAGCGUAAGUGACGGUAGUGGUAGAAGAAGCACCGGCUAACUACGUGCCAGCAGCCGCGGUAAUACGUAGGGUGCGAGCGUUGUCCGGAAUUACUGGGCGUAAAGAGCUCGUAGGUGGUUUGUCGCGUCGUCUGUGAAAUUCCGGGGCUUAACUCCGGGCGUGCAGGCGAUACGGGCAUAACUUGAGUGCUGUAGGGGAGACUGGAAUUCCUGGUGUAGCGGUGAAAUGCGCAGAUAUCAGGAGGAACACCAAUGGCGAAGGCAGGUCUCUGGGCAGUAACUGACGCUGAGGAGCGAAAGCAUGGGUAGCGAACAGGAUUAGAUACCCUGGUAGUCC
RNAcentral lists this ribosomal RNA (773 nucleotides) under uncultured bacterium. RNAcentral's name for it is "bacterial SSU rRNA". It matches the Rfam family "Bacterial small subunit ribosomal RNA", at positions 8 to 796 of the family's 1533-position model. The record is from RNAcentral.